RNAcentral lists this ribosomal RNA (617 nucleotides) under uncultured bacterium. Its description in RNAcentral is "bacterial SSU rRNA". It matches the Rfam family "Bacterial small subunit ribosomal RNA", at positions 8 to 607 of the family's 1533-position model. The record is from RNAcentral.
AGAGUUUGAUCCUGGCUCAGGAUGAACGCUGGCGGCGUGCCUAAUACAUGCAAGUCGAACGCGCAGCGAGAGGUGCUUGCACCUUUCAAGCGAGUGGCGAACGGGUGAGUAACACGUGGAUAACCUGCCUCAAGGCUGGGGAUAACAUUUGGAAACAGAUGCUAAUACCGAAUAAAACUUAGUAUCGCAUGAUAUAAAGUUAAAAGGCGCUACGGCGUCACCUAGAGAUGGAUCCGCGGUGCAUUAGUUAGUUGGUGGGGUAAAGGCUUACCAAGACAAUGAUGCAUAGCCGAGUUGAGAGACUGAUCGGCCACAUUGGGACUGAGACACGGCCCAAACUCCUACGGGAGGCUGCAGUAGGGAAUCUUCCACAAUGGGCGCAAGCCUGAUGGAGCAACGCCGCGUGUGUGAUGAAGGCUUUCGGGUCGUAAAGCACUGUUGUAUGGGAAGAAAUGCUAAAAUAGGGAAUGAUUUUAGUUUGACGGUACCAUACCAGAAAGGGACGGCUAAAUACGUGCCAGCAGCCGCGGUAAUACGUAUGUCCCGAGCGUUAUCCGGAUUUAUUGGGCGUAAAGCGAGCGCAGACGGUUGAUUAAGUCUGAUGCGAAAGCCCGGAG